GAGCUAGAUGCUCAACAAGUUUAGGAACAGCUAAGGACCAGCUCAAACCAGCUGCCAUGCUUCAAAACAUACCUAACCAGCAUAUGCUGUUUUUUUCAAUGGUAAUAUUGUGUUUUUCUUUGACCUUGUAAUAGUACGGCAUUUUAGAUGUCCAUUUAGUGCUGGGACUUGAGGGAAAGAUCGCUGUGACUGUAAUAUUAGCAUUUGUUAACUGAAUUUGAGAACAGAAAGCUUCAGUCAGUGUGAGCGCAGAAGCUGAAUAGUGUUUUAAGAUAUUAUGAGAGAGAGAAAGGGAAAGUUGGGGACAGAGGAAUGUGUCAGUGUUCCUGUAACCACUAUGCCCCUAAACUGCAGCAAAUAAACAUUCCUCCGUUCGUGUGUCAGAGCUGAACACUUGCCCACUGUUGCUGUAAAAACAUAGCCAAUAAUUAAAACCAAAAAACCCAAUGCUUUUUCCUUUGUCGUAAACAACUUUUUCCCCCCAGUGGAUUUCAUUCAGACAGUCAUUCUAUUGAUAACUCCUUUUUUUUCUCCCCAAAACUGGAUAGGAUGGAAGUGCAUGAAGCACUGUAAAAAUAAACUACAGCAUAUGAUUUGCAGCUCCGCAGGCAAAAUGUGUGAUCAUUAUGCUGGAAGAUUUUUAGGGAGCAGUUGCAAGGCAGAGUACGAGCGAAUGAUGGAGAUGUUACAAGACUAGGUCUUUUGUGAUGUGAGAUGGCAGUUUCUCUGGAGCCACCAUCUGCUGAGAGGGAAAGCUGAAAAGAGACAGGAAGUGACAGGAUAGUGAUUGGACCUUGAGCUCCGAUUCAAACAUAGGUCAUCGGAGGCACUACUACACAACAUGUCAGAGCACAGCCCACAAGGCUAUGCUUUUCAAAGGUAAUCUAUUGUAAAAAUAUAUUAGUGCAGUAUUUUUGUCCUAUACUAUCAGUCAAAAUUUUGGAAUAGUUAAGAUGUUUUUGAAAGAAGUCUCUUAUGCUCAACAAGGUGGCAUUUAUUUGAUAGAAAAAUUAAGUAAUAUUAUGAAAUUUUAUUGCCA
This is a long non-coding RNA of Cyprinus carpio (common carp), 1039 nucleotides long. The record is from Ensembl. NCBI's taxonomy places the organism in Eukaryota, Metazoa, Chordata, Actinopteri, Cypriniformes, Cyprinidae.